RNAcentral lists this ribosomal RNA (286 nucleotides) under uncultured bacterium. RNAcentral's name for it is "partial 16S ribosomal RNA". It matches the Rfam family "Bacterial small subunit ribosomal RNA", at positions 773 to 1060 of the family's 1533-position model. The record is from RNAcentral.
GUGGAUUAGAUACCCUGGUAGUCCGCACCAUAAACGAUGUGCACUAGGUGUUGGUCCGAGCGGAUCAGUGCCGAAGCUAACGUGAUAAGUGCACCGCCUGGGGAGUAUGCCCGCAAGGGUGAAACUCAAAGGAAUUGACGGGGGCCCGCACAAGCGGUGGAGCAUGUGGUUUAAUUCGAUGGUACGCGAGGAACCUUACCUGGGUUUGACAUACAGUGGAAUACGGCAGAGAUGUCGUAGCGUAGCAAUACGCCGCUGAACAGGUGCUGCAUGGCCGUCGACAACU